AUUGAACGCUGGCGGCAGGCCUAACACAUGCAAGUCGAGCGAGCGGCGGACGGGUGAGUAAUGUCUGGGGAUCUGCCUGAUGGAGGGGGAUAACUACUGGAAACGGUAGCUAAUACCGCAUACCAUCAGAUGGACCCAGAUGGGAUUAGCUUGUAGGUGUGGUAACGGCUAACCUAGGCGACGAUCCCUAGCUGGUCUGAGAGGAUGACCAGCCACACUGGGACUGAGACACGGCCCAGACUCCUACGGGAGGCAGCAGUGGGGAAUAUUGCACAAUGGGCGCAAGCCUGAUGCAGCCAUGCCGCGUGUAUGAAGAAGGCCUUCGGGUUGUAAAGUACUUUCAGUCGGGAGGCGUUACCGACAGAAGAAGCACCGGCUAACUCCGUGCCAGCAGCCGCGGUAAUUC
RNAcentral lists this ribosomal RNA (406 nucleotides) under uncultured bacterium. RNAcentral describes it as "partial 16S ribosomal RNA". It matches the Rfam family "Bacterial small subunit ribosomal RNA", at positions 30 to 526 of the family's 1533-position model. The record is from RNAcentral.